CAAAACUCUUUUUAUUAAUGUCGUCUGAGUACUAUAUAAUAGUUAAAACUUUCAACAACGGAUCUCUUGGUUCUGGCAUCGAUGAAGAACGCAGCGAAAUGCGAUAAGUAAUGUGAAUUGCAGAAUUCAGUGAAUCAUCGAAUCUUUGAACGCACAUUGCGCCCCUUGGUAUUCCGGGGGGCAUGCCUGUUCGAGCGUCAUUU
This 203-nucleotide ribosomal RNA is filed under the name Sclerotinia sclerotiorum. RNAcentral describes it as "5.8S ribosomal RNA". The stretch from base 47 to 200 matches the Rfam family "5.8S ribosomal RNA". Rfam says of the family: 5.8S ribosomal RNA (5.8S rRNA) is a component of the large subunit of the eukaryotic ribosome. It is transcribed by RNA polymerase I as part of the 45S precursor that also contains 18S and 28S rRNA. Lineage: Eukaryota; Fungi; Ascomycota; Leotiomycetes; Helotiales; Sclerotiniaceae. The record is from RNAcentral.